GCCUACGGGGGGCAGCAGUGGGGAAUAUUGCACAAUGGGGGAAACCCUGAUGCAGCAACGCCGCGUGAGUGAAGAAGUCAUUCGUGAUGUAAAGCUCUAUCAGCAGGGAAGAAAAUGACGGUACCUGACUAAGAAGCCCCGGCUAACUACGUGCCAGCAGCCGCGGCAAUACGUAGGGGGCAAGCGUUAUCCGGAUUUACUGGGUGUAAAGGGAGCGUAGACGGCGAUGCAAGUCUGAAGUGAAAGGCGGGGGCCCAACCCCCGGACUGCUUUGGAAACUGUAUGGCUGGAGUGCAGGAGAGGUA
RNAcentral lists this ribosomal RNA (305 nucleotides) under uncultured bacterium. RNAcentral's name for it is "bacterial SSU rRNA". It matches the Rfam family "Bacterial small subunit ribosomal RNA", at positions 337 to 659 of the family's 1533-position model. The record is from RNAcentral.